This 63-nucleotide transfer RNA is filed under the name Planomicrobium okeanokoites. It matches the Rfam family "tRNA", at positions 6 to 65 of the family's 71-position model. From Rfam's summary of the family: Transfer RNA (tRNA) molecules are approximately 80 nucleotides in length. The record is from RNAcentral. RNAcentral also lists the same sequence under 15 other names. Lineage: Bacteria; Bacillati; Bacillota; Bacilli; Caryophanales; Caryophanaceae.
AUUAGCUCAGUUGGUAGAGCAUCUGACUUUUAAUCAGAGGGUCGAAGGUUCGAAUCCUUCAUG